AGUCACUGACAUUAGAUACCCCCGUAGUCCCAGCCGUAAACGAUGUGGACUUGGUGUUGGAAUGGCUCCGAGCUGCUCCAGUGCCGAAGGGAAGCUGUUAAGUCCACCGCCUGGGAAGUACGGUCGCAAGACUGAAACUUAAAGAAAUUGGCGGGGGAGCACCACAACGCGUGGAGCCUGCGGUUUAAUUGGAUUCAACGCCGGACAUCACACCAGGGGCGACAGCAGAAUGAUGGCCAGGUUGAUGACCUUGCUUGACAAGCUG
This 265-nucleotide ribosomal RNA is filed under the name uncultured archaeon. RNAcentral describes it as "partial 16S ribosomal RNA". It matches the Rfam family "Archaeal small subunit ribosomal RNA", at positions 718 to 982 of the family's 1478-position model. The record is from RNAcentral.